Molecule: long non-coding RNA, 4140 nt
Filed under: Setaria viridis
Lineage: Eukaryota; Viridiplantae; Streptophyta; Magnoliopsida; Poales; Poaceae
Description: long non-coding RNA (SVIR_LNC009888)
Source: RNAcentral
GUUAGGGCGCGUGAUCAUGCUGCGCCUGCCACGGACAAGCCAACGGAGAAGGUCCAAGCUGGGCCUCGUCGUUCCCUUCGGCCCAUCAUCCCCAAUGUCCGAAUCUCAGGUCCAGAGUGGAAAAGGCCCAUGUAAGUGUUCGUGUGAGUUGCGUGCGUGAUGUGCUCAGCUGAAGAUAAAUCAGCAGCGCGGUGCCGUUGUGCGCAUGUAUGCAAGAACAAGAACAGAACUCAUCUAAAGCUUCGUCGUUCCUCCUAUCUUCUUCUUCUUCCUCGUUGCCGAUUCCCUCCCACUACUCGGCUGCUAACAUCCUGGUAUCAGAGCCACGAUCCUGGAUCCCCUUCCUCCCCACCACCACUUCACGCGUCUGCAGAAACGCGCAGGAGCGAUGGAUCCCAACACCAAAAUCCUCCUCGACGAAAUCCACAAGUGCUUCUCCGACGAACUCCACAAGCGUUUUGCGGAGAGCGACCUCAAGUGGGAGCAUCGUUUCCUGGAAGCGGAGCGCCUCCAUGGUGACCGCAUCGUCAAGCUCGAGGCCGCAGCCAAGGUGUUCGAAGAAUGGCGCCCCCAGGUCGACGCCGCCGUCGAUGACGUCAAGCUUGAACUCGGCAAGCUGACUCGCCAUUGGGACCGUUCCGUACGCGACUCGGCGUCCGCGGAACCCGGCAUCUUCCCCACGCCUCAGUCGGCGUCCGAGCGCCCAUCUGCUCCGGAUCUCACCACCGACGGCCCUCAUGGGCACCGCGUCGAUCACAUACACCGGGAUGACGGGUAUGGGUCAGUAUUCACCCAUACCUCAAUCCCGGUCAAGGGUGCGUCUCCCAUCCCUAACCCUACUUUUCCUCGUUCGCAUUCGCGUCCUUAUGGCAAUCAUCAGGAUGAUUUCUAUCAGGAUAGUGUGCAUCUUGGCAAGUUACCCAAACUACAAUUUCCUGUUUUUGAGGGCGACAAUCCUAAAUUGUGGCUAUCUAGAUGUGAGGACUACUUUGAGAUGUACCGCGUCGAUCCUAAAAUCUGGGUUAAGGUUGCUGUCAUGCAGUUUGAGGUAUCUAGUGCCGCCGCUCGUUGGGCUUUAUUAGUGGACCGACAGUUAAAACGGGUUCCCUGGACUGAAUUCAGUGUUAUGUUAAUUGAUAGAUUUGGGCGAGACCAGCAAGAGCUCCUAAUCCGACAAUUGUUUCACAUUAAGCAAACGGGCACUGUUGCCGAAUAUGUUGCCAAGUUUACUGAAUUGCUAGAUCAGCUCAUAGCUUAUGGCCACUCUACUGAUCAACUGUAUUACAUCACUCGCUUUAUUGAUGGCUUACGUGAUGAUAUCCGCUCCACUGUUCUUGUUCAGCGUCCUUCUACUCUCGAUACUGCUUGCACUCUUGCCUUGCUGCAGGAAGAAGUGGCGGAUCCUUACAAACGACGGGAUUGGCGUCGCCCUGAACCAGGAUUUCCUCCAAGACCUCCGCCAAGGGGACCAUUACCUCUGCCACCCCCUCCUCGUCUUGACAAGGCUGUGAUGUCCUCUUCUAAUACUGUUGUGGCCUCUCAUCCUCCGGAUUUCAACAAGUCUCAGCUGGACAAGUUUGCUUCCCUUCGAGCUUAUCGGCGGGCUCGCGGACUGUGUGACAAAUGUGCUGAAAAAUGGCACCACGGCCACAAGUGUUCAGCUACUGUCCAGCUCAACGCCAUUCAAGAGGUUUUUGACUUGUUCUCUGUCGAAGAAGUCUCCCAGGUGCCUGAUGGUGUCAAUUAUGCUGGCUCUGAGCAUCAUUUUCAGGAACAGUUAUUUCUGGCACUCUCCAAAGAUGCAUCAGCUGGUACCGAGGGUCCUCGCACCAUGCAAUUGGAAGGAUCAAUCCAGAAUCUACCUCUGAAAAUUUUAGUUGACUCAGGCAGCUCCCAUACUUUCCUCAGUCACCACAUUGCUCAUAAACUGGAUGGAGUAGUUCCCCUGUCUAACUCUGUUCGGGUUCAGGUUGCUAAUGGUGCUGUCUUACAAUGUGUGGCCCAUAUCCCAAAUGGGACAUGGUUUAUUCAGGAGUUCAGUUUUGUUUCUGACAUCAAGAUUAUUCCCUUGGACCACUAUGAUCUUAUAUUAGGAAUGGAUUGGCUUGAGAAGUUCAGCCCAAUGAAAGUGCACUGGAAACUCAAAUGGAUGUCCAUACCUUACAAUGGGUCUUCAGCAGUUCUGCAUGGUCUUUCUUCUGAUCCAGAUACCCUCAUGAUUCAAGUCUGCUCCAUUGACACUUCUCACCAACCAGCUCCCAAUACUCAAGACCUUCCCCCACAAAUUGCUGCCCUACUUUCAGAGUUUGCUGCAGUCUUUGCCCCUAUAGAUGGCUUGCCACCGCCUAGACUAUGUGAUCAUUCCAUUCCUUUGGUGCCUGGUGCCAAACCUGUUUUUAUUCGGCCAUACCGCUACCCACCAGCACUUAAAGAUGAAAUUGAAAAACAAAUUCAAGAGAUGCUCGACAAGGGAAUUAUUAGACCCAGUACUAGCCCCUUUUCAUCUCCACUGUUGCUAGUCAAGAAAAAGGAUGGUUCCUGGCGACCAUGUGUGGAUUACAGAUACCUUAAUGCACUGACAAUUCGUGGUCAAUUUCCCAUUCCUGUUUUUGAUGAACUUGUUGAUGAGCUGUCUGGAGCAAGUUGGUUUUCUUCCCUGGACCUUAAUUCUGGUUUUCACCAAAUCCGAAUGAAAUCGGGAGAGGAAUUCAAAACAGCCUUCCAAACUCACUUCGGUCAUUUUGAAUUCAUGGUGAUGUCAUUUGGAUUAUGUGGGGCUCCUGCUUCCUUCCAGGGCGCUAUGAACUCGACUCUCAAGCCUUUACUCAGGAAAUGUGUUCUGGUCUUCUUUGAUGACAUCUUAAUAUAUAGCAAAACCUUCGAUGAGCAUCUGGCCCAUCUCAGAGCUGUACUCCAACUGCUGGCUGCUGAUCAAUGGCAAGUUAAACUAUCCAAGUGUUCUUUUGGCCAAAGACAGAUAUCUUAUCUGGGCCACAUCGUUAGCUCUGAAGGGAUUUCCACUGACAACAGCAAGAUCACCUCCAUUACAAAUUGGCCACAACCAACUAAUGCCAAAGAAUUGAGGAGCUUCUUGGGUCUUGCUGGUUACUACAGGAAGUUCGUCAGACAUUUUGCUAUCAUCGCCAAACCUUUAACUUCCCUGCUUAAGAAACACACUAUUUUUGUGUGGACUUCUCUUCAUCAAGAUGCAUUUGAUGCCCUUAAGACAGCGCUCAGUACAGCACCUGUAUUGGCAGCCCCAGAUUUCUCCAAACCAUUCUGUCUAGAAACAGAUGCCUGUGCUUCUGGGAUUGGAGCAGUUUUGGUUCAAAAUGGACAUCCCUUAGCCUAUAUCAGCAAACCCCUUGGGCCCAAGUCAGCAGGUUUAUCCACCUAUGAGAAAGAAUACUUAGCAAUCCUGAUGGCUGUGGAACAGUGGAGGUCUUACCUGCAACAUGGGGAAUUUAUAAUAUAUACUGAUCAAAAAAGUUUGAUCCACUUGUCUGACCAAAGGCUGAACACACCAUGGCAGCAAAAGGUUUUCUGCAAGUUAUUGGGCUUACAAUACAAAAUAGUGUAUAAACAAGGAACAUCUAAUAGGGUGGCUGAUGCCUUAUCUCGAAGACCUCACCCUACUUCUCAACUUUAUGCAGUCUCCAGUUGUGCACCAACCUGGACUACCUCUAUAGCACAAGGACAGUGCCUCUCAAGACAUUAUUGCUAAACUGGUUGUUGCUAAAGAUUCUGUACCUCAUUUCUCCUUACAAGAUGGUCUUCUCAAAUUCAAAGGUCGAGUGUGGAUUGGCAAUAACCAACCCCUUCAGUCUCUUGCUACUUGGGAAGACAUGGAAGCUUUGCAUCAACGUUUCCCAGCAGCACCUGCUUGGGGACAAGCAGGUCCUAAACAGGGGGGGAGUGUUAGGGCGCGUGAUCAUGCUGCGCCUGCCACGGACAAGCCAACGGAGAAGGUCCAAGCUGGGCCUCGUCGUUCCCUUCGGCCCAUCAUCCCCAAUGUCCGAAUCUCAGGUCCAGAGUGGAAAAGGCCCAUGUAAGUGUUCGUGUGAGUUGCGUGCGUGAUGUGCUCAGCUGAAGAUAAAUCAGCAGCGCGGUGCCGUUGUGCGCAUGUAUGCAAGAACAAGA